Molecule: long non-coding RNA, 6897 nt
Filed under: Ananas comosus (pineapple)
Lineage: Eukaryota; Viridiplantae; Streptophyta; Magnoliopsida; Poales; Bromeliaceae
Description: long non-coding RNA (ACOM_LNC017210)
Source: RNAcentral
AGAGAGAGAGAGAGAGAGAGAGUUGAGCUAGAAUACUAUCUUUAGUUAACGAGCUCUGUUGCUGCCAUUUUGUUUUGGGUUAAUUACACUAUUAGUCCCCAAUCUUUGCACCUUUUUUCAUACCUUUCUUUUUUUGCAAAUCAAGUCUCCAACCUCUUGAUUUAUUACAAUUAAAUCCCAGCCGUAAGAACGGGCGUUAAAAUUGACGGAAAAUGUGAUGUUAGCACCAUGUCAGUGCCACGGAGGCCUUUCCCUAAGAAGGAUCCUUCUUAGGUGAAUCCCUUAUAAAUAAGGGAUUUCACCGAUACCUGAUUUAGUAGUUCAAUACUAUAUAUGCUAUGGUCGGAAUACAAGGUAUAAGAAGGAAUUCAAGUUAUAUGCUAUGAUCGGAGGCCUUUCCCUAUCACGACCGCCUUCCUUUAUUCGGAAUGAAUUCGUCUAAAAAGAAAGAGCUAGCGAACCACGCCGAUUCCAUUCCAAUUCUCUCAGACAGAGCAGGAUAGUUGCCAUCAAAUUGCCCUUUUAGAGCAAGGGCGUCAGCACCAGCUAAUUAUACAAUUUUCAUUUAAAUUGUAUAUUAUAAAUUUAAAUUUAAAUUCAAAUUUUAUUUUGAAUUAAAUUAUAAAUUCAUAGCAAAUUUUUUUCUUUAAAAUUUAAAUUUUGAUAUUGGAUUCAAAUUUAAAUUCAAAUUCACAUUUUGAAUUCAAAUUCUAAUUUAAUUUCGAACUUUGAUUUGGAAUUUCAAAUUCAAAAUGUGAAUUUGAAUUCAAAGUUUAACUUCAAAUUUAGAAUUGAAAUCAAAUCUCAAAUUCAAAUUAAAUUUUGAAUUAAAAUUUAAAAUUUAAAAUCAAAAUUUUGAAUUUGAUUUUAAAUUCAAAUUCAGAUUUUAAAUGUAAAUUUUAGUUUCAAAAUUUUGAUGUUAAAUGCAAAUUCAAAUAUCAAAAUCAAAAAUUUAAGUUUGAAUUCAAAAUUUAGAUUCAAUUUAAAAUUUGAAUUUCAAUUCAAAAUUUUAAUUCAGCUUUAAAUCAAAAUUGUUAAAUUUUAAUUUUAAUAUUAAUUUCGAAUUUAAAUUCAAAAUUUUGAAUUUUUUACUUUUGGAGACUAAAGUGAAAAACAUACAAAAUUUAGGGACCAAAAUUGACAUGCAAAAGAAAGCCACAUAGGUGCUGACAUGGUGAUUCCUAAUUUUAACCCCUUUUUUAAGGGCUAGAACAUAAUUGUAAUAAAAUCAAGAGAUUGGGAACUUGAUUGCAAAAAAAGAAAGGUUUACUCAAGUGAAAAAUGGUACAAAGAUUGGGGACCAAUGAAGUAAUUAACCCUUUUGUUUUUUAUGAUGGAGCUUCUGAAUCGACGAUCAGCACCAUUGAACAUGAUCUAAACCACUUUUCUUGUCUUUCUCCAAUAUUGUUCUCUUAUGCAUCAAGUGGACACAAAAAAAAACGGCUAAAAAUAAAUAUCCUUCAAAAAGUUAUGAGAUGAUUCUUGUAAUUGAGAUCAAAACUAUAGGUCUUGCUUUAAGUAUUUUAAAGAACUUUCUAAUAAAAAUUCAACUGAUUUGGAUUCGUUUAACACUAUUAAACGAGCAAACGCCUCAAAUCGACCAUUAAAAUUACAAAUUCUGAAACUCUUUAAUUAUUAGAUCAAUGACGUCGAAAAGAUUUGAAAUUUAAUUUUUAGAUACUUCCAAGUGGUAUAGAUUAUGUUCAACGGAGUUGAUCAUUGAUUUGGAAGCUCCAUCAUCGAAAAUACAUUGGCACAAUGGAGCCUAUUUACUACCGAUAGUAUUCUAGCCCAACUCUACAUAUACACACACACACAAACAUACAUACAUUUAAUAAUAUGUGAAUAGUGCAUACUACAGACAUUUUAGCUCUUGGAUGUUUAUUACGAAUAGUACGAAGGGGUAAACACUAGGCAGUAGGCACCCAAGGCUAAAAAGUCUCCACUAUGCACUAUUCAUGUACUUUUAGAAGCACUACAACUAAAUACUAUAUAUAUAUAUAAUAAUAUAUAUAAUCUUAGAAAUUGGUGACCUGUAUAUCUGUUAACUCGGAGUCAUGUUGAAAAUAGCCUUUCUGGUUAACUAAACCUUGGCAGUAAACAUCAAGGAGAUGAGUGCAACCAGUUUUCUGCAAAGAUCUCAUUAGACCUUUGUGUAGUUCCCAAUUUACCACUUUUUCUCCUCGAAAAGAGGCAUGAGAGCCAUCAGCAUACAGUUUUCCCGAUGAAGCUCCCAUAUGUUGAAUCGGAGAAGAUCUAACUAGUAAGUCAUAGUACUCCAGAGCUUUACUCCAACUUCCCUCAUGCUCAAAUCUGACAAUCUGAGAUGCUAUCUAUUGAAGGGGAAAAGAAAAACAAAAAGAAUGGGAAGAAAGAUGAGCAAGUCAAGGAAAUGAAUUCUAAAAAGAGAUAUGGAAACAGUGAGUCCAUUUCAGUACAGUAAAUAUUAGUGGCAGAUAACUGAUGUCAAAAUAAACUCCACUAAUGUGAAUUGCCUCAACGACUGUCAAAAUCAAUUGACAUAUGGCUUUUGAAUAAACAUAAGGUAAAAUUCAACAUAAGGUAAAAUUCAACAAAGAAUAUUAAUAGUUUUGCAACAAUGCUUAUCUGUACACUAAUACAAAAAAUAAAAAAGCAAGUAAACAUAUACCUCCAGAAGUGCAACAUUCACACAAAAAAUUUAAAAGUGAAUAUACUGGAGUUCAAAUUUGAAUAAACCCUUAUAUAGAUACAUAAUCUACGAAGGUAACCAUAUAUGCAAUCUUAACUUUAAAAACAUUAAAAUUUGAAUAAACAUUUCAGAGUGCACACUUUUGAGAAUACCUAUCUAAGAUCCUCUAGUUAAAAAUCCUCGUGUUAGAAGAUUUGGGGUUGCAAUAUAGAGGUUAAUACAUGAAUAUUAUUGCGAUGGACAAUAUCACUACACUCUGGAACCUAUAGACUAACUUAAAAGAACAACCACGAGAUUUUGGAGGUUCUGUACCCUACAUUAUUUAUCCUAAUGGUGAGCAUCAAAAGCAUAUUUCAAAUAGGUAAAAUUGUAGACACCAAUAAAUUAAGUUAUGUUAGUCUUAUCAAAUGAUUCUUGUGCCAAACCAACAUAUAUCAAACUAAACACAAUUUCUGAUUUUAGCUUUAUAUAAUUUUGUUAUUAAAUAACCAGAUUUCAUGAGAAGAUAGAUUUUGUUGGAGGUUGAAUAUGAAAGAGAUCAUUGCUGAAUAUGCAAAAGCUAAGAACGCAUAACAAGUAAAUAUUUUUAAAGGAAAUAACCUUAUUUGACUGGAUGAUUCCAUAGAUGCUAUCAGGUUCAUUGAUCUGUUUGAAUGCUGCAACCAAUAGAUCAAUAUGUGGAGGCAACUGGAAACAAAAAGAGCACAAAAGAGCACAAAGAAAAUGUUUAAAGCUGGAAACAUAUCAUCCGUAAAUUCCAAACCCCAAAGAAAUAGGAGAUAUACUAACCAACUCUUCUUGUGAAAAAUCAGGAGGGCCUAAUGCCAGACCAUUAAAAUGUUCCUCACACCAGAGUUCCGCAUACAUUACUGCUGUGAAGUAUGAUCCACAACGCUACAAAGAUGCAAUAAAGAAGUCAAAGACAAUAACAGAAGCCAAAGGAAAGAGAGGUGAACUUUGAUUAGAUAAUACUCAUCCAAACAAAGUACAGCAAGUUACAUGAUUAAACAAAUGUGUAUUGCCAACAUGGAAAACGAAAAGGUAAUUUAGACUGAAGUUUCAAUGGUCAUUUGAGAAACGACUCCUAAAGAAGAGGAAAAAGGAUUUAUCUUGGUUAAAGGUCUAAAAUAACAGAAGGUAUAGAUGUAAAACUUAGUGAUUUGCCGACAACCAGCAUUAGGUUCUGGUAGAACUUACAGUACGCUAUCAACAAGCAGAACCAUAACAGUUAGAAUGAUUUAGAAAGGAGAGAGGCUUGUCUACAUUCUUAUUUGAACUACUUUAAGCAACCAAUAAUUUAUGUAGAAAGAUAUCAGAAGGCAGACUCACAAUUGCUGCUUUAGCAACCACAAGAUACGCAAUCAUCAAAUAAGUUACUUAGAAAAAUAUCAGAAGGGAAACUCACAAUUGCUGCUUUAGCAACCACAAGAUAAUCAACGGAAAGCCAGUACACCUAGGGAAACAAUAACUUGUUAGAAGAAAGAAUAUAAUGAAUAACAGCAUUAUGGUAUCUUGAAAAUUCUACUAAAUUAGGAUGGAAUAACACGAGCCAAAAAUCAUAAACCAAUAUGCUACAUGAAUGACGUCAAAGUAGAAUACUCUCCACAGAACUUAGACAAUAUAAAGAAAAUUAGGCAAAAACUUAAUUACCAAAUUUUGGACAUGCAUAAAUCUGAUCAAUUCAUACCUUACUAUCAACCUACAGUAAAUAAUAUCUCUCUUCCAUAUCGCAAAUAGCUUCUCUAUAAGAUUAAAUUUGAAUCUCUUUACAAAAUGGACAUUCAUACAAAAUAAAAUUUAAAAUGCAAACAUUUGAUCAAUCUUAUCAGCUUGCUCAAAAGAAUUAAGGCAUUAAAUCAAAGAACAAAGCCGCUGUUAAACAUUCAUCUCAAACUUUUGGUCCUUCGGUAUGAUAGUAAAUUGCAAGAAAGAAAUUGCAACAAUUAAAGAAGAUAAUGAGAACGGGAGGCUGCAAGGGUGGUUUUGUUAGUGUAGCCUUACUUCAAAAUUUACUUUUUAACUUUAGAUGGCCUCUUUAUCUCUUUCCCACAAGGGUAAAAAGAACAACCACCAGGUCCAACACCGUCUUUCGUAAAACUAGAAAGGAUUCCAAACCAGGAUCAACACUCCAAAAUGCACUUAAAUUGCAUUAACUCAAAGUCAAAGUAAUAGAUUACGUUAAUUGAUUAGUUAGUAGCAACUUAACCUUGUAUAUUACAGCUAAAUCUCUUCAACCAAAUAAUUUUGCAUUAUCUUUGCUUCAACGAAAAUAAUUUUGCUUUAUCUUGGAAGACAGAACACCGAGAUAACUGCUAUGAACAGGGAAGAAGACAGUAAUUGCUCAUGUUUAUAACCAAGAUAACUACCUUUUGCCACAAGGAAGUCAACUGGAGAGCACUGAAUGAUCGAUCUUUACUUCUUUCGGAUCGAAAUUUCGCCGAGGUUUUGUCAUUCUGUAAAAUUUCAUGAUGGUUGCAUUUAGUACAAUCGUAAUGCAAGACUGCACAACAGUCACAGGUAAUAACAAAAAAAAAGAACAUAUAUUGAAAAAAUAGAACAUUUAAAGCUCUUGAAUUAAGGAGCUUAAGAAAGAAAGAACCCAGUAAGUUCAAUUUUCCAUAGUGGAAUACAAAGACCAAAAUAGACACACAAGUAAGUUUACCUAGCCAGUAAUAUGAAUACAUGCCGAGUACCACAACUACUUUUUCAAUUCAAUAAUGUUGAGACCUUUUUUUAUGACUUUUCAUGCUGUUUGGCUAGUUGGGUAGUGCAAAAUCGUAGAUGUUCAUCACAUCCGAGUAAAAAGUUAGAGGAGUUCUUUUACUAUUAUCUUCAAAUGUGAAAAACGUUUUAUUUAUAAAGAAUAAUAUGUAUUCAUAAAAAUGGGAGUAGUCAUAUUCUUGAGAAGUAAUCAAACCAAAAUAAUCCUUCAAACCAACCAUAGUUAACCCAAAAUGAAGCAACACAUUUCAAACCAGAAUAUACUCCAAGCACUUCAAAGUAUCCAAGCCUUUAGGCUGUGCAAUUCAAAUGAGAGAAAUUUCAAAAAUGAUUCAUCAAUUCCUUAGAAUGACAACCAAGGAACAAAACUACAUCAUAUGAAUUUACUAUAUUAGUAAUGAGGCAUGCUAACCUUCAUGACAAAAAUAACUAUCUAUAUGUAGUGCCUAAUUAUACAUUAUUAAUUUUCCCAUGACAAGACAUCCUUACUUUCAGAGCCGCAGAAAAAGAUCCAGCUCUUUCAGUAACAUAAAAAGAUCUGAUUUCAUUUAAUGCUUCCAAUAAGACCUGAACUGACUUGAUCAGAUUAUUUGAAUCAGAGAAAAUGUUUUCCCGAAUCUGCAAUAAAUUUGAGCCCAUAGUAAAUCAAGGUAGAAUGAUAUAGUGAAAUGACAAUUAACUAUAAGUUAGGGGGGGCUCAGAUACCAAACCUUCGUUGAGAUUAAUUUACAAAGGGCAGCAUUAGAGUCAGUCUUUCCCGCAAGGCUCACCAGCACGCUAGCAAACAGAAGCUCAGCUGUCUCAGCCUUCAACAAGACUAUAUUUUGACAGAGUCUGCAAAUGAGAAAGAGAGUACAUGAUUACCAUCAUAUUUAAGAGUCUCAAAUGAAAAACAUAGUACCAUAUUUCCGCGAUAAUGAGACAAGCUAAUCGAAGUACCUUAAAAUUAUAUCAUCGCAAUGACAAACAAGUGAGUGCACAAGGGAACACACCCAUGUAUCAUAGGUUUUUGCUUCUGUCCCCCAGAGAGAAGAAUCUUCUAAAGAAGCUGCAUAGAUACAAGUCAUCAAACUUAUGAACUUUUCCAGGCAAAAAGGUGGCUAGUGAUGUGCUACAAAAACAUGAAAACAAUGUAAAGCAGGAUCAAACACAUAACAGACUUAGGCCCCGUUUGGAUACCUCUAAAAACGUAGCAUAGUUAAACUAUGCUACGCCGAUAGAAAAAUAAUCCUAUGAAGCGUUUGGAAGAAAAAAAAAAUGAUGUAACGUUUGGAAGAAAAAAAAAAUGAUGUAAUUUUUGGAGUAUAGUUAUACUAUACUCUAAAAAAUAGAGUAAACUUACAAUCCACUUUAACCAAAGGAAAAAAAUUCCACCAUUUUGGGCUCCCGAAGAUGUAUCAAUUUCUAAAUUUUAAAUUUCAACAUAAAAUUUUAAAUUUCAAAUUUUAAAAUUUUAAAAUUCAUUUUUAAUUUUGAUUUCAAAUUUCAAAUUUCAAAUUUCAAAU